UACGGAGGGUGCAAGCGUUAAUCGGAAUUACUGGGCGUAAAGCGCGCGUAGGCGGUUUGGUAAGUCGGAUGUGAAAUCCCCGGGCUUAACCUGGGAAUUGCAUUCGAUACUGCCAAGCUAGAGUGUGGAAGAGGGAAGCGGAAUUUCCGGUGUAGCGGUGAAAUGCGUAGAUAUCGGAAGGAACACCAGUGGCGAAGGCGGCUUCCUGGUCCAACACUGACGCUGAGGCGCGAAAGCGUGGGUAGCGAACAGG
RNAcentral lists this ribosomal RNA (253 nucleotides) under uncultured bacterium. RNAcentral's name for it is "partial 16S ribosomal RNA". It matches the Rfam family "Bacterial small subunit ribosomal RNA", at positions 524 to 776 of the family's 1533-position model. The record is from RNAcentral.